This 22-nucleotide microRNA is filed under the name Heligmosomoides polygyrus. RNAcentral describes it as "hpo-miR-10036-5p". The record is from miRBase by way of RNAcentral. Lineage: Eukaryota; Metazoa; Nematoda; Chromadorea; Rhabditida; Heligmosomidae.
UACGGUAACCGUAGAACCCAUC